AGGAUUCUUACCUGGGAAAUCCCAUGGACAGUGGAGCCUGGCGGGCAAAGAGUCGGACACGACUUAGUGACUGGACAACAACAGCAACAACCACGAGUGUUGUUCUUCACGGGUCUGUGACAUAACCUCCAGGCAGCUCCCUACGGAGAAAGGCACCACGAAUGAGAUGCAGACGGGGAGUUUUUGGGUGGCCCCACGGGCAAGGCAGGAUGGAACGGGAGGGCCUCGGGCUCUCUGGUCUGAUCGUAUCCAGCAGUUUCUUUCUCAGCGGUCAACAAGUGCUGAGUGUCACAGAGGGGACCCCCUGGGAGAGAUGAAAGGCAGCCCUAGGGGAUCCCGACCUCUGAAACGUAACCUUUGUGUCGUCUUUCAAAGGAGGACUCUUUGAGGGUGAGUGUCAUCGGUCACCUUCAAACGGAACCUUUAAUCUGUCUGGCUUAGCCCGUGGAAUCCACCCUGUUACUGAUGGUUCAGCGAUAAGGGCCAUCAAGAAAGGACCCCAGUUCAUGGGGGGCCCUGCUGAGGAAGCUGGGGUCUCGGCCACGCACCCAUCAGCAGGGGUCCCUGCCCAGGAAGCACGACCCGCUCAGUGGGCGCAGCGGCCCGUGUCAGCCUCAGUCUGCGGCUGCCAGCCGUGCAGGGAACUUCUGAGACUCGGGGGGAGCAAGCUGGCAUGCCGCAGAACCAGAGCAGGCACCGAGGAGCCAGCAAGAGAAACUCAGAUGCACACAUCCUCCCCGCAGUGGGGAGCACCUGCUCUCUGCACCCUCCCCAGACACCGUCAGCCUGCUCUGAAAAUGACAGAAUGA
RNAcentral lists this long non-coding RNA (809 nucleotides) under Capra hircus (goat). Its description in RNAcentral is "lncRNA (ENSCHIG00010023749.1)". The record is from RNAcentral. Lineage: Eukaryota; Metazoa; Chordata; Mammalia; Artiodactyla; Bovidae.